This 421-nucleotide ribosomal RNA is filed under the name uncultured bacterium. Its description in RNAcentral is "bacterial SSU rRNA". It matches the Rfam family "Bacterial small subunit ribosomal RNA", at positions 29 to 497 of the family's 1533-position model. The record is from RNAcentral.
AGCGAACGCUGGCGGCAGGCCUAACACAUGCAAGUCGAGCGCCCAGCAAUGGGAGCGGCAGACGGGAUAGUAACACGUGGGAACGUACCUUUCAGUUCGGAACAACCCAGGGAAACUUGGGCUAAUACCGAAUACGUCCGUAAGGAGAAAGAUUUAUCGCUGAAAGAUCGGCCCGCGUCUGAUUAGCUAGUUGGUGAGGUAAUGGCUCACCAAGGCGACGAUCAGUAGCGGUCUGAGAGGAUGAUCAGCAUCACUGGGACUGAGACACGGCCCAGACUCCUACGGGAGGCAGCAGUGGGGAAGUAUUGGACAAUGGGCGCAAGCCUGAUCCAGCCAUGCCGCGUGGAUGAUGAAGGCCUUAGGGUUGUAAAGCUCUUUUGUGCGGGAAGAUAAUGACGGUACCGCAAGAAUAAGCCCCGGC